GAUGAACGCUAGCGGCAGGCUUAACACAUGCAAGUCGAGGGGCAGCACAGGUAGCAAUACUGGGUGGCGACCGGCAAACGGGUGCGGAACGCGUACGCAAUCUACCUUUAUCUGGGGCAUAGCCCGGAGAAAUCCGGAUUAACUCCCCAUAGAAUCACAGAAAGGCAUCUUUCAAUGAUUAAAAUUUAUUGGAUAGAGAUGAGCGUGCGUCCCAUUAGCAGUUGGUAAGGUAACGGCUUACCAAGGCGACGAUGGGUAGCUGGUGUGAGAGCACGACCAGCCACACGGGCACUGAGACACGGGCCCGACUCCUACGGGAGGCAGCAGUGAGGAAUAUUGGUCAAUGGACGCAAGUCUGAACCAGCCAUGCCGCGUGAAGGAUGAAGGCC
RNAcentral lists this ribosomal RNA (389 nucleotides) under uncultured bacterium. RNAcentral describes it as "bacterial SSU rRNA". It matches the Rfam family "Bacterial small subunit ribosomal RNA", at positions 28 to 416 of the family's 1533-position model. The record is from RNAcentral.